RNAcentral lists this long non-coding RNA (537 nucleotides) under Homo sapiens (human). RNAcentral's name for it is "HSALNT0168120". The record is from RNAcentral. Lineage: Eukaryota; Metazoa; Chordata; Mammalia; Primates; Hominidae.
CUCCCAGCUACUACCUAGGUGCUUUUGAAACAGGUGCUUCUUGACUGGGAAGGAGUGGAAGAGGUCCUAGGUGCAGAAGGGUAUGGAAGAUAAGGUCAAAGGAUGUGCUGGUGGGAAUGGGAGACAACUGAGAAGGUGAGACAAGCUGGAGGAAAUGUCAGGAGCUGCUGAGAGAAGCUCAGCCUGACCAGAGAUGAGAAUUGCCAUCUUGAAUCGUCAGGAAGUGAAGGAAAGCCCAGGUGAAUGCCACCCAAUCAAAAAGAAAAAACAAAUGCAGAUGGUAAGGUAGAGAAGGCUCUGAAGCCCAGGUAAUGAGAGCCAUGUUACCCUGGACAGAAGCAUCCAACACCACACAUCUCCAAGGAUGUUGGAGAUCCAGCAUCUGGAUCCAGCUAACUUCUGCAUCCUCUUCUGUACUCACAAGAGUUAACAUGGACGUCCAUGCAUCUGCUGGACAACACCCCCUAGAACGAGUGUCUUUGUAUGUUUUCACACACAUAAUGAUGUUAUAUCUGCUGCCAUCCUACUGAGUAAGGG